CACCGCCCGUCACACCAUGGAAGCCAGCUGUACCGGAAGUCGGUGCGCCAACCCGCAAGGGAGGUAGCCGCCUAUGGUAUGACUGGUGACUGGGGUGAAGUCGUAAACAAGGUACC
This 116-nucleotide ribosomal RNA is filed under the name uncultured bacterium. RNAcentral's name for it is "partial 16S ribosomal RNA". It matches the Rfam family "Bacterial small subunit ribosomal RNA", at positions 1388 to 1500 of the family's 1533-position model. The record is from RNAcentral.